GGAUGCCGCGGAAACGCUCGAACGGAACACUGCCGCACACGACUGCCGCCCGCCAAACCUGCUCUGCAAGCAGGAGGUCGCCGGUUCGAGACCGGCUGGCUCCA
RNAcentral lists this transfer RNA (104 nucleotides) under Actinomycetota bacterium. RNAcentral describes it as "tRNA-OTHER". The record is from RNAcentral. Lineage: Bacteria; Bacillati; Actinomycetota.